This 253-nucleotide ribosomal RNA is filed under the name uncultured bacterium. RNAcentral describes it as "partial 16S ribosomal RNA". It matches the Rfam family "Bacterial small subunit ribosomal RNA", at positions 524 to 776 of the family's 1533-position model. The record is from RNAcentral.
UACGUAGGGGGCAAGCGUUGUCCGGAUUUAUUGGGCGUAAAGAGCGUGUAGGCGGCCUGGAAGGUCAGCUGUGAAAACUCGAGGCUCAACCUCGAGACGUCGGUUGAAACCACCUGGCUAGAGUCCGGAAGAGGAGAGUGGAAUUCCUGGUGUAGCGGUGAAAUGCGUAGAUAUCAAGAGGAACACCUGCGGCGAAGGCGGGUUGCUGGGCCGACACUGACGCUGAUGCGCGAAAGCUAGGGGAGCGAACGGG